GCGUCGGUCGUUCAGUGGCAGGAUGCUCGCCUGCAAGGCGGGAGGCUAGGGUUUGAUCCUCGGCUGGCGCG
This 71-nucleotide transfer RNA is filed under the name Toxocara canis (dog roundworm). It matches the Rfam family "tRNA". From Rfam's summary of the family: Transfer RNA (tRNA) molecules are approximately 80 nucleotides in length. Their secondary structure includes four short double-helical elements and three loops (D, anti-codon, and T loops). Further hydrogen bonds mediate the characteristic L-shaped molecular structure. tRNAs have two regions of fundamental functional importance: the anti-codon, which is responsible for specific mRNA codon recognition, and the 3' end, to which the tRNAs corresponding amino acid is attached (by aminoacyl-tRNA synthetases). tRNAs cope with the degeneracy of the genetic code in two manners: having more than one tRNA (with a specific anti-codon) for a particular amino acid; and 'wobble' base-pairing, i.e. permitting non-standard base-pairing at the 3rd anti-codon position. The record is from Rfam by way of RNAcentral. Lineage: Eukaryota; Metazoa; Nematoda; Chromadorea; Rhabditida; Toxocaridae.